This 770-nucleotide long non-coding RNA is filed under the name Homo sapiens (human). Its description in RNAcentral is "non-protein coding lnc-SPIN3-5:1". Lineage: Eukaryota; Metazoa; Chordata; Mammalia; Primates; Hominidae. The record is from RNAcentral.
GAUCUGUGGUCCAGGGCCAGGAACAGAGGAUUUUGUACCCCAGGUAAUAUUAUAAAACAAUCUGAUUGGGCAGCUAAAUGAGUAUAUUAUGCAAUCUGCUAUCAGCUAAAAUAAAUGGCUUAGGUUUUCAUAGCAGUCUAUACAAGUAAAGGAACCCCUCUAUUUGUUCUCAGGAUCAUCCUAGGUCUGUUUGUUCCUGUCACUGCCCAACCUACUCUCCUGGAACAUUUUUCUCCUUACUUAUAUGUCUAUGUGUGCUUUGAAUAUUUGUCCAAAUUUAACCUAACAAAUAACAAUUGUGCAGCAAAAUCUUUAAUCCUGAAGGAGAAAGUGGAAAAGAAAAAAAAGAGGAGGAGAAGGACAAGAACUCCUCAUUCCCUUGAUGAACUUAAGAAGCAGAAGCACCAGCACUGUCUGAAAACCAAACUUUAAGAAGAAAUAGGAUUAGAUUUAUUAAAACCUUUUGAGUGUGGUAUGGGACUCAGCUUAUUCACUGGGAAUGUGCCUCAAACUCAGAAACCAAAUCCCUGUAAAUCUUACCAAUCAACUACAUUGUUAUGCUCUUUCCAUUUAGGAAGUUAAAAAAGUCGUUUAGGACACUAUCAAACCACUUUUAGGUACUUAUUUUAAAAACAUAUGGAUAAGAGUUCUAGAAAACAAGAGAAAAAUUGGAAAGAAUAAAGCAGCGUAUGUUUGUUCACAGCCUUGAGUUUGAUUCCUGUUUUGUUACUGUAGGAAAAAUGUCCUAUUUCAGAGCAGGGGGGGAUGGG